GUAUGAAUAAAUAAAAAGACAGGAAC
This 26-nucleotide non-coding RNA is filed under the name Cricetulus griseus (Chinese hamster). The record is from RNAcentral. Lineage: Eukaryota; Metazoa; Chordata; Mammalia; Rodentia; Cricetidae.